This 308-nucleotide unclassified non-coding RNA is filed under the name fungal sp. Its description in RNAcentral is "partial internal transcribed spacer region". The stretch from base 1 to 46 matches the Rfam family "Eukaryotic small subunit ribosomal RNA", at positions 1786 to 1831 of the family's 1831-position model. The record is from RNAcentral. Lineage: Eukaryota; Fungi.
AAGUCGUAACAAGGUUUCCGUAGGUGAACCUGCGGAAGGAUCAUUAACAUCUUUUGAAUUGGUGAUGUGGUGUGUGUUUCGGCGCCGCUGCAUCCUCAACCCCAUUGUGUGCAUGUAUGUGUGUGUGUGUUGUGAGUAGGUAGAGCUUCGGCUUAGCCUUCACCUCACCUCACUCAUCUCAUUUAUACAACCCCAAACCCCUUCUUCUCAUCACACUAGACUGACUUUCAAUCCUCGUUUUCGCUCCCUACCAACGGAGCAAAACAUCAAUCAGCAUACAACUCUUAGCAACGGAUAUCUAGGCUCUC